Molecule: ribosomal RNA, 460 nt
Filed under: uncultured bacterium
Lineage: Bacteria
Description: partial 16S ribosomal RNA
Rfam family: Bacterial small subunit ribosomal RNA
Source: RNAcentral
CCUACGGGGGGCAGCAGUGAGGAAUAUUGGUCAAUGGGCGGAAGCCUGAACCAGCCAAGUAGCGUGCAGGAUGACGGCCCUACGGGUUGUAAACUGCUUUUAUACGGGAAUAACGCGCCUUACGUGUAGGGCUUUGCAUGUACCGUAUGAAUAAGGACCGGUUAAUUCCGUGCCAGCAGCCGCGUUAAUACGGGAGGUCCGGGCGUUAUCCGGAUUUUUUGGGUUUAAAGGGGGCGUAGGCCGCAUGUCAAGCGUGCUGUGAAAUGUCCGGGGUGAACCCGGGCCGUGCAGCGCGAACUGGCGUGCUUGAGUCCGCGGAAGGCAGGCGGAAUUCGUCGUGUAGCGGUGAAAUGCUUAGAUAUGACGCAGAACCCCGAUUGCGAAGGCAGCUUGCUGCAGCGGAACUGACGCUGAUGCUCGAAAGCGCGGGUAUCGAACAGGAUUAGAUACCCUUGUAGUC